This is a long non-coding RNA of Juglans microcarpa x Juglans regia, 219 nucleotides long. RefSeq lists it as uncharacterized. Lineage: Eukaryota; Viridiplantae; Streptophyta; Magnoliopsida; Fagales; Juglandaceae. The record is from RefSeq and is a predicted model, not a curated record. The transcript is spliced from 3 exons.
AAGAACUCUAAAUAUGACCCUCAAAAGUAGUUGGGAGCCGUGGUUUGUGGAGGGUCAAGUUGCCGGGUACACAAUGAGCUUCACCAAGAAUAAUUACCAUAUGACUUUAUGCUACGGUGAAGGGAGGGGGUCAUACAGCUCCAGAGUACAAGCCUAAAGAAAGUUUUGCCAUGGCAUAUAGGUGGUUCGCCCACUACUAUCUGUGAGUUAAUUAGAUUA